CAACCUGCCGCUUACUCGGGGAUAGCCUUUCGAAAGAAAGAUUAAUACCCGAUGGUAUAAAGAGUUCGCAUGUUCUCUUUAUUAAAGAAUUUCGGUAAGCGAUGGGGAUGCGUACCAUUAGAUAGUUGGCGGGGUAACGGCCCACCAAGUCUACGAUGGAUAGGGGUUCUGAGAGGAAGGUCCCCCACAUUGGAACUGAGACACGGUCCAAACUCCUACGGGAGGCAGCAGUGAGGAAUAUUGGUCAAUGGACGCGAGUCUGAACCAGCCAAGUAGCGUGAAGGAUGACUGCCCUAUGGGUUGUAAACUUCUUUUAUAAGGGAAUAAAGUGAGGGACGUGUCCCUUUUUGUAUGUACCUUAUGCAUAAGGAUCGGCUAACUCCGUGCCAGCAGCCGCGGUAAUACGGAGGAUCCGAGCGUUAUCCGGAUUUAUUGGGUUUAAAGGGAGCGUAGGUUGACGUAUAAGUCAGCUGUGAAAGUUUACGGCUCAACCGUGAAAUUGCAGUUGAUACUGUAUGUCUUGAGUGUACAAGAGGUGGGCGGAAUUCGUGGUGUAGCGGUGAAAUGCUUAGAUAUCACGAAGAACUCCGAUUG
Molecule: ribosomal RNA, 594 nt
Filed under: uncultured Bacteroidota bacterium
Lineage: Bacteria; Pseudomonadati; Bacteroidota
Description: bacterial SSU rRNA
Rfam family: Bacterial small subunit ribosomal RNA
Source: RNAcentral